UACAGGGGGGGCAAGCGUUGUUCGGAAUUACUGGGCGUAAAGGGCUCGUAGGUGGCCAACUAAGUCGGACGUGAAAUCCCUCAGCUUAACUGGGGAACUGCAUCCGAUACUGGAUGGCUUGAGUUUGGGAGAGGGAUGCGGAAUUCCAGGUGUAGCGGUGAAAUGCGUAGAUAUCUGGAGGAACACCGGUGGCGAAGGCGGCAUCCUGGACCAACACUGACACUGAGGCGCGACAGCGUGGGGAGCAAACAGG
This 253-nucleotide ribosomal RNA is filed under the name uncultured bacterium. RNAcentral describes it as "partial 16S ribosomal RNA". It matches the Rfam family "Bacterial small subunit ribosomal RNA", at positions 524 to 776 of the family's 1533-position model. The record is from RNAcentral.